CCUCGACGACGUCAUGCAGGCCGAGCACAUGAUGGCGAUGGCCGCACAUCAAGCCCGACUCGGCGUGCCGGACAACGCGAGUGGAGAUGAAGCCA
Molecule: ribosomal RNA, 95 nt
Filed under: Goniomonas pacifica
Lineage: Eukaryota; Cryptophyceae; Goniomonadida; Goniomonadaceae
Description: partial Eukaryotic small subunit ribosomal RNA
Source: RNAcentral